AAGUCUGAUGGAGCAACGCCGCGUGAGUGAUGAAGGUUUUCGGAUCGUAAAACUCUGUUGUAAGGGAAGAACCAGUACGUCAGGCAAUGGACGUACCUUGACGGUACCUUAUUAGAAAGCCACGGCUAACUACGUGCCAGCAGCCGCGGUAAUACGGAGGGGGCGAGCGUUGUCCGAAUUUAUUGGGCGUAAAGCGCGUGUAGGCGGACUGUCAAGCCUGAGGUGAAAGGUUGGGGCUCAACCCCAUACAGUGCCUUGGGGACUGGUAGUCUGGAGGCAGGCAGAGGUGCGUGGAAUUCCUGGUGUAGCGGUGGAAUGCGUAGAUAUCAGGAAGAACACCCGUGGCGAAGGCGGCGCACUGGGCCUGUACUGACGCUGAGACGCGAAAGCGUGGGGAGCGAACG
This 404-nucleotide ribosomal RNA is filed under the name uncultured Bacillota bacterium. RNAcentral's name for it is "bacterial SSU rRNA". It matches the Rfam family "Bacterial small subunit ribosomal RNA", at positions 379 to 774 of the family's 1533-position model. The record is from RNAcentral. Lineage: Bacteria; Bacillati; Bacillota.